RNAcentral lists this ribosomal RNA (427 nucleotides) under uncultured bacterium. RNAcentral's name for it is "bacterial SSU rRNA". It matches the Rfam family "Bacterial small subunit ribosomal RNA", at positions 355 to 776 of the family's 1533-position model. The record is from RNAcentral.
UCGCGAAUCUUCCACAAUGGGCGCAAGCCUGAUGGAGCCAUGCCGCGUGCAGGAGGACGGCCUUCGGGUUGUAAACUGCUGUCGAGAGAGGGGAAUGCUUAUAGGUGAAUAGUCUGUAAGUUGACUGCUUUCUGGAGGAAGCACCAGCAAAACAUGUGCCAGCAGCUGCGGUAAUACAUGUGGUGCAAGCGUUGUUCGGAUUUACUGGGCUUAAAGGGUGCGUAGGCGGCGUUAUAAGUCAGGGGUGAAAGUCGAUGGCCCAACCAUCGAAGUGCCUUUGAUACUGUGAUGCUUGAGUGGGUGAGGGGCAGACGGAACGAGUGGUGUAGCGGUGAAAUGCGUAGAUAUCACUCGGAAGGCCGGAGGCGAAGGCGGUCUGCUGGUACCCAACUGACGCUGAGGCACGAAAGCGUGGGGAUCAAACAGG